This 105-nucleotide microRNA precursor is filed under the name Canis lupus familiaris (dog). Its description in RNAcentral is "mir-8834 microRNA precursor family". It matches the Rfam family "mir-8834 microRNA precursor family". The record is from Rfam by way of RNAcentral. Lineage: Eukaryota; Metazoa; Chordata; Mammalia; Carnivora; Canidae. RNAcentral also lists the same sequence under 1 other name.
UGGAGGAACAACCGCAGUGGCGGCGGCAGCUCUGCCGCCCUGGAGUCAGCUCCCACAGUAACUCCAGAGCUCUCAGCCUGCAGGGCCUGGAUGCUCGGGGGCGGG